RNAcentral lists this long non-coding RNA (1206 nucleotides) under Carassius auratus (goldfish). RNAcentral's name for it is "lncRNA (ENSCARG00000020983.1)". Lineage: Eukaryota; Metazoa; Chordata; Actinopteri; Cypriniformes; Cyprinidae. The record is from RNAcentral.
GGCACGGCGUGGGCUCCUUAUUAAUUAAUAAGUUUGCUACACAUUACUAGCAAACGUAACUUCACUGAUAACCUACAUGGAUUUAAAUGUCAAAAGACCCGUAUUUCGGAUAACGUAUGCAUGCUAGUUAUGGAAAGUACAGUUGCUCUCUACUCUACAUUCAUUACACCUAGCAGGCUCAUACACACACAGUAACCACUCUCUGAACUUUGUAAAUACAACUAGUACUUUUGUUUCUGUUUUUGUUAUUAUUAUUAUUAGCAAUUAUUACAAUGCAACUAUAUGACAGGAUGAUAGAAAUGACCAAAUGCAAUUAUUUAACGAACAGCAUUUAUGAACUCUGUGUUUAAAUACAUACAGCUGCAAGAGUAGGGACAUCCAGUAGUGGUACUCCAGGGACCAGGAACACACAGCCUGCAUCAAGUGAGUCUAUUUAAUAGUAUUUAUUCAAGCCACAUCCAUACUUUAAAGUACAACAGAAAAAGGUUAGCAUGUAUUAAAAUACAAUAGCUUGUUUUCUUUAAGAAGUUCAACCACAAUCAUCAUUUCACUCACUGCUUGUCUGGUUAUACAAUAUGCUUGUAUACACCCAGAACCACAUCAAGCACUCAGGGCACCAGUGAAAGACACGCGACUGAGACCAGGGACACACAGCCUGAAGGAAGUUAGUCAUUUGAAAUAACUAAUUUAAGCUUACAACCAUCUGACAAUAUGUACUAGAAGAUAAUGAAAACAUGGAAAUCACAAUAACAUUGCAUCCCUACGAAUCUAAUUUCAACCACAGUUUAAGUAAUUUUCACUAAUUUAAUUUAACACCACUGAUCUGGCUUUUGCAGGUGAAGGGGCCACAUCUAGUAUUCCAGGCCUCAGUGAAACACAGACCACUGAGACCAGGGAUACUCAGCCUGAAGCAAUGAAGGAACAACAAACACAACAAGCUCUGCUACUACACUGCCGCCUGCAUACACCUCACCAUCUGCAAUUCCUGAUUUCCAGGGAGCACCUAUAGAUCCUGCUGACUGGCCAGCCCUCUGUGAUGCGAUAAGGACAGAGUUAGUUAGCAGAAGACCGUACCAGACCAGUCCAGACUUUACAUUUCCAAAAAGAGAUGACAGGAGAAGCUGCCACUACAACCACUUCUUGGGUGUGUGAGUUCACUAGUGUGUGUGCACUUUGAUGGGUUAUUAUGGGUACUUAGAUGGUGAC